Molecule: ribosomal RNA, 254 nt
Filed under: uncultured bacterium
Lineage: Bacteria
Description: partial 16S ribosomal RNA
Rfam family: Bacterial small subunit ribosomal RNA
Source: RNAcentral
UACGAGGGGGGCAAAUGUUGUUCGGAAUCACUGGGCGUAAAGGGAGCGUAGGCGGGUUUCUAAGUCAGGUGUUUAAUCCCGGGGCCCAACCCCGGACAGGCACUUGAAACUGGGAAUCUUGAAUAGUGGAGAGGUCAGUGGAAUUGGGGGUGUAGCGGUGGAAUGCGUAGAGAUCCCCAAGAACACCAGUUGCGAAGGCGGCUGACUGGACACAUAUUGACGCUGAGGCUCGAAAGCUAGGGGGAGCGAACAGG